UCCGAACCCUUGUCCGCCUCAUCCGACCCCUCUUAUCCGCCCGACCCCGGUUCCGUCUCGCCCGACCCUGUCUGUUCCGCCGACCCUUUUCCGCCUCGCCCGAGGACUCGGUUGUAUUCUUUUUCUUUGAACCGAGGGUGUAUGUGUAAAACUUGGGGACCUUUCAGCGUUGAGUCUGAGGACCCCUAGCACAUCAAAUCCUCUAGAUUAAGGGUCAGAUCAUAA
This 225-nucleotide long non-coding RNA is filed under the name Setaria italica (foxtail millet). RNAcentral's name for it is "long non-coding RNA (SITA_LNC002908)". The record is from RNAcentral. Lineage: Eukaryota; Viridiplantae; Streptophyta; Magnoliopsida; Poales; Poaceae.